This 254-nucleotide ribosomal RNA is filed under the name uncultured bacterium. Its description in RNAcentral is "partial 16S ribosomal RNA". It matches the Rfam family "Bacterial small subunit ribosomal RNA", at positions 524 to 776 of the family's 1533-position model. The record is from RNAcentral.
GACGAACCGUGCGAACGUUAUUCGGAAUCACUGGGCUUAAAGCGCGUGUAGGCGGGACGGCACGUCCGUCGCUGAAAUCCCCCGGCUCAACCGGGGAACUGGCGGGGAUACGACCGGCCUGGAGGGACGUAGGGGGACCUGGAACUUCCGGUGGAGCGGUGAAAUGCGUUGAGAUCGGAAGGAACGCCCGUGGCGAAAGCGAGGUCCUGGACGUUUUCUGACGCUGAGACGCGAAAGCCAGGGGAGCGAACGGG